UAAUUACAACUUUCAACAACGGAUCUCUUGGUUCUGGCAUCGAUGAAGAACGCAGCGAAAUGCGAUAAGUAGUGUGAAUUGCAGAAUUCAGUGAAUCAUCGAAUCUUUGAACGCACAUUGCGCCCUUUGGUAUUCCAAAGGGCAUGCCUGUUCGAGC
RNAcentral lists this ribosomal RNA (157 nucleotides) under Alternaria tenuissima. RNAcentral's name for it is "5.8S ribosomal RNA". It matches the Rfam family "5.8S ribosomal RNA". From Rfam's summary of the family: 5.8S ribosomal RNA (5.8S rRNA) is a component of the large subunit of the eukaryotic ribosome. It is transcribed by RNA polymerase I as part of the 45S precursor that also contains 18S and 28S rRNA. The record is from RNAcentral. Lineage: Eukaryota; Fungi; Ascomycota; Dothideomycetes; Pleosporales; Pleosporaceae.